GACGAACGCUGGCGGCGUGCUUAACACAUGCAAGUCGAACGGUGAAGCGCUUGCCUUUUUGGUGGGUGUGGAUGAGUGGCGAACGGGUGAGUAACACGUGAGUAACCUGCCCUCUUCUUCUGGAUAACCUCAUGAAAGUGGGGCUAAUACGGGGUAUUCCGGGUCUGUCGCAUGGCGGGUUUGGGAAAGAUUGCGCCUUUGGGUGUUUUCGGUGGGGGAUGGGCUCGCGGCCUAUCAGCUUGUUGGUGGGGUGAUGGCCUACCAAGGCGGUGACGGGUAGCCGGCCUGAGAGGGUGGACGGCCACACUGGGACUGAGACACGGCCCAGAGUCCUGCGGGAGGCAGCAGUGGGGAAUAUUGCACAAUGGGCGCAAGCCUGAUGCAGCGACGCCGCGUGAGGGAUGGAGGCCUUCGGGUUGUGAACCUCUUUCGCCAGUGAAGCAGGCCUGCUCCUGUGUGGGUGGGUUGACGGUAGCUGGAUAAGAAGCGCCGGCUAACUACGUG
This 504-nucleotide ribosomal RNA is filed under the name uncultured bacterium. Its description in RNAcentral is "partial 16S ribosomal RNA". It matches the Rfam family "Bacterial small subunit ribosomal RNA", at positions 28 to 507 of the family's 1533-position model. The record is from RNAcentral.